CCGUGUUUAUUGUACCUUGUUGCUUCGGUGCGCCCGCCUCACGGCCGCCGGGGGGCUUCUGCCCCCGGGUCCGCGCGCACCGGAGACACUAUUGAACUCUGUCUGAAGAUUGCAGUCUGAGCAUAAACUAAAUAAGUUAAAACUUUCAACAACGGAUCUCUUGGUUCCGGCAUCGAUGAAGAACGCAGCGAAAUGCGAUAACUAAUGUGAAUUGCAGAAUUCAGUGAAUCAUCGAGUCUUUGAACGCACAUUGCGCCCCCUGGUAUUCCGGGGGGCAUGCCUGUCCGAGCGUCAUUGCUGCCCUCAAGCACGGCUUGUGUGUUGGGCUCCGUCCCCCCGGGGACGGGUCCGAAAGGCAGCGGCGGCACCGAGUCCGGUCCUCGAGCGUAUGGGGCUUUGUCACCCGCUCUGUAGGCCCGGCCGGCGCCAGCCGACAACCAAUCAUCCUUUUUUCAGGUUGACCUCGGAUCAGGUAGGGAUACCCGCUGAACUUAAGCAUAUCAAUAAGCGGAG
This 513-nucleotide ribosomal RNA is filed under the name Penicillium spinulosum. Its description in RNAcentral is "eukaryotic LSU rRNA". The stretch from base 141 to 294 matches the Rfam family "5.8S ribosomal RNA". Lineage: Eukaryota; Fungi; Ascomycota; Eurotiomycetes; Eurotiales; Aspergillaceae. The record is from RNAcentral.